RNAcentral lists this transfer RNA (73 nucleotides) under Planctomycetaceae bacterium. Its description in RNAcentral is "tRNA-Arg". It matches the Rfam family "tRNA". From Rfam's summary of the family: Transfer RNA (tRNA) molecules are approximately 80 nucleotides in length. Their secondary structure includes four short double-helical elements and three loops (D, anti-codon, and T loops). Further hydrogen bonds mediate the characteristic L-shaped molecular structure. tRNAs have two regions of fundamental functional importance: the anti-codon, which is responsible for specific mRNA codon recognition, and the 3' end, to which the tRNAs corresponding amino acid is attached (by aminoacyl-tRNA synthetases). tRNAs cope with the degeneracy of the genetic code in two manners: having more than one tRNA (with a specific anti-codon) for a particular amino acid; and 'wobble' base-pairing, i.e. permitting non-standard base-pairing at the 3rd anti-codon position. The record is from RNAcentral. Lineage: Bacteria; Pseudomonadati; Planctomycetota; Planctomycetia; Planctomycetales; Planctomycetaceae.
GCACCAGUAGCGCAAUGGAUAGCGCAUCGGUCUUCGGAACCGAGUGUUGGGGGUUCGAGUCCCUUCUGGUGUG